RNAcentral lists this ribosomal RNA (647 nucleotides) under sulfate-reducing bacterium enrichment culture clone 1-3-5-F4. RNAcentral's name for it is "bacterial SSU rRNA". It matches the Rfam family "Bacterial small subunit ribosomal RNA", at positions 87 to 749 of the family's 1533-position model. The record is from RNAcentral.
UAAGCUUAGUGGCGGACGGGUGAGUAACGCGUGAGUAACCUGCCUUGGAGAGGGGAAUAACGUCCCGAAAGGGACGCUAAUACCGCAUGAUGCAACGAGAUCGCAUGGUUUUGUUGCCAAAGAUUUAUCGCUCUGAGAUGGACUCGCGUCUGAUUAGCUAGUUGGUGAGGUAAUGGCUCACCAAGGCGACGAUCAGUAGCCGGACUGAGAGGUUGACCGGCCACAUUGGGACUGAGACACGGCCCAGACUCCUACGGGAGGCAGCAGUGGGGAAUAUUGGGCAAUGGGCGCAAGCCUGACCCAGCAACGCCGCGUGAAGGAAGAAGGCUCUCGGGUUGUAAACUUCUUUUAUUCGGGACGAAAAAAAUGACGGUACCGAAUGAAUAAGCCACGGCUAACUACGUGCCAGCAGCCGCGGUAAUACGUAGGUGGCAAGCGUUAUCCGGAUUUACUGGGUGUAAAGGGCGUGUAGGCGGGACUACAAGUCAGAUGUGAAAUUCCAGGGCUCAACCCUGGAACUGCAUUUGAAACUGUAGUUCUUGAGUGAUGGAGAGGCAGGCGGAAUUCCGAGUGUAGCGGUGAAAUGCGUAGAUAUUCGGAGGAACACCAAUGGCGAAGGCGGCCUGCUGGACAUUAACUGACGCUGA